Molecule: long non-coding RNA, 405 nt
Filed under: Mytilus galloprovincialis (Mediterranean mussel)
Lineage: Eukaryota; Metazoa; Mollusca; Bivalvia; Mytilida; Mytilidae
Source: RNAcentral
UUAAUAGCGAGGAAAGCUCGUUUAGUUUCGUGAUAGGAAAGCUAUAACGAAGAAGAUACAAAAGUUUAUUACACGAGAAGCAGAUAUUAUGAAUUAUCAUAUACUUAGACUAAAUAACAUAUGAAUUUUACCGUAUGAUAAUAGCAUUAAAUUAACGUAUAUUUCAUAUUUUUUCCAAUUAGUGCUUAGCGGGCUGAUAUGAAAAGUUUAUCACAUGCUUCGAUUGUUAUCACAUGCCUUUCCGUAACGUUAUCACAUGGCAUUCCGGUGAUACUCGGCAAAUUCUGGAAAAUACACCUCAAUACUACGUUUUCAGUGAAAAACAUUACAAAGUAGUGUAGAAAACAAUUAUUACUGGAAAAUAUAUUGUGUAAAAUAAUAUAAAAAGUAAAAAAAAAAAAAAAA